AAAUCCCUGCUUGGUGCGUGUUUAUAGGAUAUAUUUUAACCAACAAAUCUAAUAAGGAAUCCUUUCUCUUUGUGUGGGUGUAGACCAUGUCAUAGCCUUUUUGGCUAUGUUAUUUAACAAGGGAACAAAAAAGCACAAAGGCGGAUAUCCACCUGUUUAAAUACAGGUUAGAAAUAGUCCGUAUCACGGCUAAAGUGGGGUAUAC
This 205-nucleotide non-coding RNA is filed under the name Oscillospiraceae bacterium. Its description in RNAcentral is "6S RNA". It matches the Rfam family "6S / SsrS RNA". Rfam says of the family: E. coli 6S RNA was the first non coding RNA to be sequenced, but its function was unknown until recently. The record is from RNAcentral. Lineage: Bacteria; Bacillati; Bacillota; Clostridia; Eubacteriales; Oscillospiraceae.